GACGAACGCUGGCGGCGUGCUUAACACAUGCAAGUCGAGCGGUAAGGCCCUUUCGGGGGUACGACGAGCGGCGAACGGGUGAGUAACACGUGGGUGACCUGCCCUUACGCUCUGGGAUAAGCCUGGGAAACUGGGUCUAAUACCGGAUAUGACUCCAUGACGCAUGUUGUGGGGUGGAAAGCCUUGUGCGGCUAGGGAUGGGCCCGCGGCCUAUCAGCUUGUUGGUGGGGUGAUGGCCUACCAAGGCGACGACGGGUAGCCGGCCUGAGAGGGCGACCGGCCACACUGGGACUGAGACACGGCCCAGACUCCUACGGGAGGCAGCAGUGGGGAAUCUUGCGCAAUGGGCGAAAGCCUGACGCAGCGACGCCGCGUGAGGGAUGACGG
RNAcentral lists this ribosomal RNA (387 nucleotides) under uncultured bacterium. RNAcentral describes it as "bacterial SSU rRNA". It matches the Rfam family "Bacterial small subunit ribosomal RNA", at positions 28 to 414 of the family's 1533-position model. The record is from RNAcentral.